UGGACCAGGAAGCCCAUGAUCUGCACCUGCUUCUGGUUGUCGAAGGCCACCAGGCGCACGUAGGCAUCGGGGAAGGCCUUGGUGCAGGCGACGAUCUCGCGCAGCACCUGCAUGGGGUCGCGGCAGCCGAACAUGGGCAGCUUCCACAUGGUCCAGUAGCGGUUGUCGUAGUACAGCUGCGGGCGCACGGGAAAUGGGAGGGAGAAGAGGUUCAGUCACCAGCGCACAGAACCACCAAAGAUGGAAUUGGGCCCCUUGCUUUUCCGUGCUGAAGCACGAGCAGGGGUAUGCGUCAGUUCCCCGCGGUGAGAUAGGCGCUGUCCCGGUGCCAAGCUAACCCAGUGCCACAGUGGACCCGUCUGGCUCUCGCUCCGACUUACGCAAGACACGCUGCCGAAGCGGAUGGCCGACUCGUUGGACACGUAGGCCUUGUCGGCCUCAGCGAACUCCAGGCAGGGGAUCCAGCCUGCAAGCGACAGCACGAAGGGGGUAAGAUAAGUGGCCGACGCAAGCAGUCCAGGGCUAUCCCAGAUAAGGGCGGAUGACAGGCAAACUAUACAGCAGACAACGAACAAGCUAAUCUCAAGCUUCGAGCGAUCGUAAUGUCGCAGUCUGCAGCUACGCCCUAGAUCGUAUUAACUAGCUCUCAAACACAGCCCAGCUACAUAUGCCCACGGCACCAAGCCGUGCUCACCGUUGGCGACGAUGUAGUCGACCUGGGCGGCGAUCUGCUCGUCGGUCAGAGGAGGCAGGUAGGAGAAGGUCUCGAACAUCCUGCGAUCACGCGAUUGACCAGUACUCGUUAGAAGUGGCAGAGCACGUGCGAUGUGAGGCAGCAGGCUGGGCCCCAAGCAAUUGCGUCGCGACUUGCAGAAUCCCUAUCCUUCGGGCUGCGCUUGCUCGUCGACUCACUUGUUGUUGACCGGGGUCCAGACCAUCAUCUGGUUGGCCUGAGCCGGGGCAGCCACGGGGGCAGCCUUGACGGCGGGCUUCAGCGCGGCCAUGGGGCGCACGCUGGAGCGGGCCGGGCGAGCCACGGCCGCGGAGACGGAGGACUUGGCAAUGACGGCGGCCAUUUUAGAUGUUUGAGAAAGUGGUCGAAUGAACGAGUAAGUUCUUGGGACAAAGACUCGGAGGUGGCCGGUCGCCGUUUUCAAUCCCCGCUCGCCGAUGACCCGUACGGCAGGCUUAUCCGACUCGUCGGCUUUCACGACCGCCCGAGCCUGCGCGCUUCAUCCGCUUCCGGAUAGCUUGCUACGAUAAUGCAUUAUUCAAUUUUACGACGCAAUGUCAUGAGCAGCGCCGGGCGGGCUUAUUUACAUGCGUCGCCUCGCUCGCCGUUGACUUGAUACUUUGGAAAUUCGGGCUCGAUUCGUUGCUACAGCCUGCCUUUUGCACACAAUGUGAACGUCGAUUCUACAUUUGUAUGUGACUGAACUUCGCGGCCCCUACUGAACGUUUCGUGCAAGCGACAUGUCGACUCACAACUUGGAGGAACGCGCGAGGGGUCCCCACACGCACUUUCAGCCUGCUUUGGCGAAAUGGACAUGAUAGGUAUAGCCAGGAUAUGGGUCUGCUAGCUCGCCUGGUGUUUUGACCGUCGAUCGGUUUCGCGUUGGGCCUUGCGGCUGCUCGCUCGCCGCGGAUGCUUCCGCACACUGCGCGGCACGUGUUAGUCUGUGCACGACGACGGUUUGUUUGUAUUGCGCCGCCAACGUUCAACGGUGGUGGUAGGUUCGAAUGUCAGAAUGUCGGGCACGGGGACCUUGGGCGCAUUGCCUACAAGCGCGUGCCUGUGUUUUUGGGGGGCAGAGAAGUGAGCCUGCCUAUUGGGUCACAAUAGCACAGAGGCGGGUGGCCAGCGUCGGGAACUGGUUCAGAACGGCUGCAGGGACAGCACCGUGCGUGCGUGUGUGUGUGGGGGGAGCCUUCAAAGUUGACGAGCUUCGCAGCGCUGGGAUGGACUGGCAUUGCGUGCUUGAGUUUGCGUCCCGUGAGAACCCUGCAGUUUAUGGCGGAGACAGGGAAGAGGGAAUGGGAUCGCGCCGGUGCAGGGAAAGGGCACGAAUCUGAGGUUACGGUAUCUGGGGGGAGGUGCCCAUGUGGGAGGGGAAGCCUAACUGCCUGUCUGGGUGCAGACCAGGAAUGGCAACACGUGAACGGUUAGUAGAGAGCUGUGUGCUGUUGGGCGCUCUCGGCAAGGGGCGUGGGAGGGGGCUGGGUUGGUGGGCGGCUGUCCGCACAGUGCCUAGCAGUGCGCACUCAGGCCCUUCGCAGACCGAAGAGGGCGCCAGGGCCUAUGCGCGCGUGGCUUGGCGUGAGGUUCUUGCUGUUGGCGUCAGGCGCCGCAAAAGGCCGGGUGGCUCUGCAGUGUCCUGCUCGCUUGGCGUGCGGCAAAGUGGUUCAGUCAGCGAGCGCAGUGUAUGCGUGUGUGCGUGUAUGCGUGUGCGUGCGUGUGUGUGUGUGUGUGUGUGUGUGUGUGUGUGUGUGUGUGGUUGCUGCGGAGAGGGCACGCAGCGACACGAGAUUGCCAUGCAGUGGUGCAAGCUGCUGGGGUCGGGUAAACGGGGUGGGAAAGUUGGUGAUGGUGGAAUGUUCUUGUGGCACGAACUGGCCUUGUGCGUAUUCGUUCGCCCCGUUCACUCUGGUCCACCAAUCCCACAGUCACUGCACUUAAAUGCCUAAAAGCCCCUGCUACGGUGCGGACAGGGUAAGGCCACGGCAGGUCUAAGUCCAUAUGCGCCCGUAGAGGUUCGAGUGCGUUAACCGGUCGCAAGGUGUUCACAACAUGUUGAUGUGUUGACAACAUGGCUGUGGUCAAGACGUGCCCUGCGAACUUCCCGUGUUUACAUGUUAAUAGAGCUCGCUGACAGCAGUCAUUUGACACCAUUAUGGAAGAAAACAGAGGGGAUUUAGGGGGUGUACGGCACGGUAUGGCACGGUCGGUCGUCGGUCCGGGGGGUCGGGGGGUUCUGCAGGGUGGGGCCUGGAACUAUUGUUCGUACACCCCCGCCUGGCUCCCCUGCUCCCCCUGACUAACCCCUGACCUCUGGCUUUCUUCGCUUUCCUUUCAGUGUCACCAAUUCUCAUGAGUGGGGGCGCACCCCGAAAUAAGCGGGUACGGUGCUUCAGUUCAGUGCUUGCCACGGCCUCAAGAGCCCCAAACCACGUGCACCGAAAUUCGCUUGCACUCCAAAUGCACUGGGAAGCCAGUAGCAGCGCGCUCUCAAAUGCUGGCAUGUGUCUCUCUCUGUCCAGAGCCUGAAUGCGCCAAGUCUGCUACGGUAGGAGGGUGCAACCCGUGGCCCGCCUUGAACCGCGCUUGCACACACAGCUGGAUUGCUGCUGGCAUGACCGUGUGAAAGAGGUACAGGCAGCCGGGCAAGUCCCAGCGGGCAGGUUGGUGUAGGCUAUGCCCCAUAACAGGCCCGUGCAUGCUGCCACGGACUUCUCGCCAGGAAUGUAAGUCCCGAUGCUAGACAAUUACUCCAGCAGCUGCAUGCCGCCAUCUUCAGUACUCGGUAUCCCUUGGUGCACGCAAGUCAAGGAUCAGUCCCAGGGCUCACCCUGGAGCAAUGCAGCCUGCGUGUGCACCUGCGAUGGAGCCGCGGCCUGCGGUAUUGGCUGCCCGAUUACGAAGCUGCGGGUGGGGGCAGUUGGCACGCAUUCCGCCACAGACCCCGCGAGCCUAGCCGCACCCAAGCUCUAAGCGGCCUAGACCGUGACCAAAGGCGAAGAAGCCGCGGCCAUCCCUGCGCUCAGAUUGCAUUGGUUACAAGAGGGACCUGCUGACGCAGUUCAUGGCUUCAUGCGCUCAGAGCCCGAGCCCUGAGCGGCAGCAAAAGCAGAAGCCACGCUACGUGUGCUAGCUACGACCAAUGCCUUGUACAGCUCUCCUCGGCUGCGCUCUUCGGCUGCGCUCCUCGGCUGCGCGGGACAGGGGACUCCGUGCAACCACUAUUGCUUAUAGCCUGCACCAGUCAUUGACGAGUGUUGCGGAACUAAUGCGUACGUAGACCAGAGCGGAAGGCGGAGUGGGCUUGCAGGCGGCACGAGAGUAGGCAGUCAGUAGCGCAAGUUGCGAAUUCCCAUGUUACCUCGUAACCGACGGUAAACGCUGUGGACGGUCGCGCCCAUGGCUGGCUGACGGAAGCUGGCUGCGGUAUUGGGAUGGCUGGGCUGGAUGACGCCGGCCGGGCUGGCGUUGGGACUACCAGAAAGGAUGCGCCCGAAACCAACCUGGAGAACACCAGCGCCACCGGUGCCCAGCACGACAUGUAAGGGAGGGAGGGAGGGACAGGAGGCGUGAUGCACUGCAGCGUAGAAGCUGCAGUCAUGGGCACAGCUUGUACCAUACAGCACGGUCAUCAAGGACACAAUGCCGGAACGGCAUCAUACGAGGCGGGGUUGGGAGCUGCAGGAAGUGGGCAGCGGGGCAGAAUCAAAGGUUUGCAUCGUUUAGAACAGGUGCGGAACACGCGCCAGCGCCAGCGCGGAGGACCCCAAGUAAGGCCUUUACUCACCAAUGUACGUUUUGUACACCCAAUCUCGCCCCCUAUCGACGUUGGCACUAGGUAGCUGGCUAUCAUUCUAUGCAGAUUAAGCAAAGGGGCACCGGGAACAACUGACUCAUGUUCGUCACUGCAGGUUACUGCAAAUGCUGUCUCCACCUUUGCUGCACGGUUCCGUUUCGUCACGUUUGCUGGUGUUGCUACCCGCCGUUCUUUAGUGUGUAACUGAUCUGCGAACCGAGUCCCCUUCAGCUGAUGAACCCCGCAGCAACUUUUCCAAAAGCGCUUCAAAUACGCCCAGCCCGCCCAUGGAGAAAGAGGCCAAAAUCAACGGAGGAUCGUUACAACCAACAAAAUUGCAAAACUCCUCCGCUUUUUACGUGUUGAAAAAGACUGAUCAGCACGAAACGGGGAGCUAAGCUACCGCUUCAGCACUUGAGAGCAGUAUCUUCCAUCCACCGCCGUUCGUCAGGGGGCAAGGCUCAGAUCAACGAGCGCCUCCAUUUACACGGAGCGCUUGUUGGCGGGCUGCCAGUCGCGGGCAGACUUGGGGCGCUGGACCAGGAAGCCCAUGAUCUGCACCUGCUUCUGGUUGUCGAAGGCCACCAGGCGCACGUAGGCAUCGGGGAAGGCCUUGGUGCAGGCGACGAUCUCGCGCAGCACCUGCAUGGGGUCGCGGCAGCCGAACAUGGGCAGCUUCCACAUGGUCCAGUAGCGGUU
This 5231-nucleotide long non-coding RNA is filed under the name Chlamydomonas reinhardtii. RNAcentral's name for it is "long non-coding RNA (CREI_LNC000175)". The record is from RNAcentral. Lineage: Eukaryota; Viridiplantae; Chlorophyta; Chlorophyceae; Chlamydomonadales; Chlamydomonadaceae.